RNAcentral lists this ribosomal RNA (460 nucleotides) under uncultured bacterium. Its description in RNAcentral is "partial 16S ribosomal RNA". It matches the Rfam family "Bacterial small subunit ribosomal RNA", at positions 338 to 795 of the family's 1533-position model. The record is from RNAcentral.
CCUACGGGUGGCAGCAGUGAGGAAUAUUGGUCAAUGGACGCAAGUCUGAACCAGCCAUGCCGCGUGCAGGAAGACGGCUCUAUGAGUUGUAAACUGCUUUUGUACGAGGGUAAACGCAGAUACGCGUAUCUGUCUGCACGUAUCGUACGAAUAAGGAUCGGCUAACUCCGUGCCAGCAGCCGCGGUAAUACGGAGGAUUCAAGCGUUAUCCGGAUUUAUUGGGUUUAAAGGGUUCGUAGGCGGUCUGAUAAGUGAGAGGUGAAAUCCCGAGGCUCAACUUCGGAAUUGCCUCUGAUACUGUUCGGCUAGAGAGUAGUUGCGGUAGGCGGAAUGUAUGGUGUAGCGGUGAAAUGCUUAGAGAUCAUACAGAACACCGAUUGCGAAGGCAGCUUACCAAGCUACUUCUGACGUUGAGGCACGAAAGCGUGGGGAGCAAACAGGAUUAGAUACCCCUGUAGUC